CGGUGAGCCAGCUUGCUUGGUGGAUCAGUGGCGAACGGGUGAGUAACACGUGAGCAACCUGCCCUGGACUCUGGGAUAAGCGCUGGAAACGGCGUCUAAUACUGGAUAUGAGCUCUCAUCGCAUGGUGGGGGUUGGAAAGAUUUUUUCGGUUUGGGAUGGGCUCGCGGCCUAUCAGCUUGUUGGUGAGGUAAUGGCUCACCAAGGCGUCGACGGGUAGCCGGCCUGAGAGGGUGACCGGCCACACUGGGACUGAGACACGGCCCAGACUCCUACGGGAGGCAGCAGUGGGGAAUAUUGCACAAUGGGCGCAAGCCUGAUGCAGCAACGCCGCGUGAGGGAUGACGGCCUUCGGGUUGUAAACCUCUUUUGGUAGGGAAGAAGCCUUCGGGUGACGGUACCUGCAGAAAAAGCGCCGGCUAACUACGUGCCAGCAGCCGCGGUAAUACGUAGGGCGCAAGCGUUAUCCGGAAUUAUUGGGCGUAAAGAGCUCGUAGGCGGUCUGUCGCGUCUGCUGUGAAAUUCCGAGGCUCAACCUCGGGCUUGCAGUGGGUACGGGCAGACUAGAGUGCGGUAGGGGAGAUUGGAAUUCCUGGUGUAGCGGUGGAAUGCGCAGAUAUCAGGAGGAACACCGAUGGCGAAGGCAGAUCUCUGGGCCGUUACUGACGCUGAGGAGCGAAAGGGUGGGGAGCAAACAGGCUUAGAUACCCUGGUAGUCCACCCCGUAAACGUUGGGAACUAGUUGUGGGGUCCUUUCCACGGAUUCCGUGACGUAGCUAACGCAUUAAGUUCCCCGCCUGGGGAGUACGGCCGCAAGGCUAAAACUCAAAGGAAUUGACGGGGACCCGCACAAGCGGCGGAGCAUGCGGAUUAAUUCGAUGCAACGCGAAGAACCUUACCAAGGCUUGACAUACACCAGAACGGGCCAGAAAUGGUCAACUCUUUGGACACUGGUGAACAGGUGGUGCAUGGUUGUCGUCAGCUCGUGUCGUGAGAUGUUGGGUUAAGUCCCGCAACGAGCGCAACCCUCGUUCUAUGUUGCCAGCACGUUAUGGUGGGAACUCAUGGGAUACUGCCGGGGUCAACUCGGAGGAAAGGUGGGGAUGACGUCAAAUCAUCAUGCCCCUUAUGUCUUGGGCUU
This 1139-nucleotide ribosomal RNA is filed under the name uncultured bacterium. RNAcentral's name for it is "bacterial SSU rRNA". It matches the Rfam family "Bacterial small subunit ribosomal RNA", at positions 67 to 1216 of the family's 1533-position model. The record is from RNAcentral.